UGAGAAUAGAUAUUAGAUUUAUUGCAAAAAUUAUGUUAUGCAUGUCAAGAGUAGUAUGAAUUAGACAUAGGAAUUAAAUGAGAAUGGAAUGAAAUUAAACAUAAUUUAAACAUAAAUGCUAUAUAUUUUCUUGAGCUAAUUUAGUGUCUCGGUUAAAAACUAGCAUUUAGUCUGCAGAAAAGUUAUGUUGAUUAUUUCAAGCAAAAACAAAAUCUAAUUUUUCCAAUGUGAAAAUUUACUUUUGAGUUCACUAGAUUUCAGGGAGAAAGUACCAACUGAUGUGAAGUCUCGAUGUUCAUUGGGUUUCAUGUUGGUUCCAGAAUAUUUUGACCUCUCUCCAUAC
Molecule: long non-coding RNA, 343 nt
Filed under: Carica papaya (papaya)
Lineage: Eukaryota; Viridiplantae; Streptophyta; Magnoliopsida; Brassicales; Caricaceae
Description: long non-coding RNA (CPAP_LNC011613)
Source: RNAcentral